Molecule: ribosomal RNA, 397 nt
Filed under: Staphylococcus aureus
Lineage: Bacteria; Bacillati; Bacillota; Bacilli; Caryophanales; Staphylococcaceae
Description: partial 23S ribosomal RNA
Rfam family: Bacterial large subunit ribosomal RNA
Source: RNAcentral
AUGGGUGAUGGCGUGCCUUUUGUAGAAUGAACCGGCGAGUUACGAUUUGAUGCAAGGUUAAGCAGUAAAUGUGGAGCCGUAGCGAAAGCGAGUCUGAAUAGGGCGUUUAGUAUUUGGUCGUAGACCCGAAACCAGGUGAUCUACCCUUGGUCAGGUUGAAGUUCAGGUAACACUGAAUGGAGGACCGAACCGACUUACGUUGAAAAGUGAGCGGAUGAACUGAGGGUAGCGGAGAAAUUCCAAUCGAACCUGGAGAUAGCUGGUUCUCUCCGAAAUAGCUUUAGGGCUAGCCUCAAGUGAUGAUUAUUGGAGGUAGAGCACUGUUUGGACGAGGGGCCCCUCUCGGGUUACCGAAUUCAGACAAACUCCGAAUGCCAAUUAAUUUAACUUGGGAGUC